CCUCCGAGUAGCUCAGUUGGUAGACGCGGAGGACUGUAGGUACUUAAACUAGUCAUCCUCAGGUCACUGGUUCCAAUCCGCUUCAAAGGG
This 90-nucleotide transfer RNA is filed under the name Ameiurus melas (black bullhead). RNAcentral's name for it is "tRNA-Tyr". Lineage: Eukaryota; Metazoa; Chordata; Actinopteri; Siluriformes; Ictaluridae. The record is from RNAcentral.